UAGUGUAACUAAAUAUUAUGCAGUGAUAACAUCAGACUUAAACUUGUUUUUCAUAUUUUGAAAUGUUUGCAGAUGACCAUGAAUGCAGCUGAUGCUGUCAUUCCUGUGGAAAGCUCCCAGCAUGCUGUCUUGUUAGAGACGCAGAUGACUGAAACUUUGAGUCCAUGAGACACUAAUCAACAGAUGACCAUGAAUGCAGCUGAUGCUGUCAUUCCUGUGGAAAGCUCCCAGCAUGCUGUCUUGUUAGAGACGCAGAUGACUGAAACUUUGAGUCCAUGAGACACUAAUCAACAGAUGAAAGGCACAGAUGUUGAAGAUUCAAAUGAAGUAUCCGACUCUAUACAAGUUUGUAUUGUUGCUUUCAGUUUUGUCUUGAGAGAACGCAAAUGAGCAGGACUCAAUAAAAAGUUUAAAUGUAUAAUUUAAAUGAGAGUUUGACUUCUUGAACUAAGGAAAUUAUUUUUUACUAUGAAGUAAUGCAGCAAACAACACAGACAAACAUGAAUACUAGUUUUAGGGUUGUUGAGUAUUCUGUGACUGAGAAGUACAAUAUUCCACAGUUUCUGGGUAGUUGACUGUGGUUAAAAAUAAGAACCAUGUGAGACGUAAACGAAGAAAACCCCUUACAGUGAAAUUAAGGUUGAAAAGUUUGAUGGGUGAGACAACAAUUUAGUAAUUCACUACUAAAUUCUUGGUACUUAAGUGACCCCUGAUAUCAAGAUUAAGUUAGAACAAUGUCUCUAGUAUAAAUGAUAUGUAAAUCAUUUGAUUCCCAUUUUAUUUGUAUAACAAAUUGUAUGUUUACCCUGUUUUCGCUAUAAAUAAAAACUAAAAAAGUA
Long non-coding RNA from Dicentrarchus labrax (European seabass), 839 nucleotides. RefSeq lists it as uncharacterized. The record is from RefSeq and is a predicted model, not a curated record. The transcript has 3 exons. NCBI's taxonomy places the organism in Eukaryota, Metazoa, Chordata, Actinopteri, Moronidae.